GCCUAACACAUGCAAGUCGAGCGGCAGCAUGCUUAGUAGCAAUACUAAGUGAUGGCGAGCGGCGGACGGGUGAGGAACACGUAGGAACCUGCCCAAGAGAGGGGGACAACCAAUGGAAACGUUGGCUAAUACCGCAUAAUCUCUUAGGAGAAAAGUUGCCCGUAAGGGUAGCGCUUUUGGAGGGGCCUGCGUCCGAUUAGCUAGUUGGUGAGGUAAUGGCUCACCAAGGCUGUGAUCGGUAACUGGUCUGAGAGGACGACCAGUCACACGGGGACUGAGACACGGCCCAGACUCCUACGGGAGGCAGCAGUGGGGAAUCUUGGACAAUGGGGGCAACCCUGAUCCAGCGAUGCCGCGUGGGUGAAGAAGGCCUUCGGGUUGUAAAGCCCUUUAGGCUGGGACGAAGGAUGUGGGACGAAUAAUCCUGCAUUUUGACGGUACCAGCAGAAUAAGCACCGGCAAACUCUGUGCCAGCAGCCGCCGCAG
RNAcentral lists this ribosomal RNA (486 nucleotides) under uncultured bacterium. Its description in RNAcentral is "partial 16S ribosomal RNA". It matches the Rfam family "Bacterial small subunit ribosomal RNA", at positions 46 to 523 of the family's 1533-position model. The record is from RNAcentral.